AUACGUAGGGUGCAAGCGUUAAUCGGAAUUACUGGGCGUAAAGCGUGCGCAGGCGGUUUUGUAAGACAGUGGUGAAGUCCCCGGGCUCAACCUGGGAACUGCCAUUGUGAAUGCAAGGCUGGAGUGCGGCAGAGGGGGAUGGAAUUCCGCGUGUAGCCGUGGAAUGCGCAGAUAUGCGGAGGAACCCCGAUGGCGAAGGCAAUCCCCUGGGCCUGCACUGACGCUCAUGCACGAAAGCGUGGGGAGCAAACAGGAUUAGAUACCCUGGUAGUCCACGCCCUAAACGAUGUCAACUGGUUGUUGGGGAUUUAUUUUCUCAGUAACGAAGCUAACGCGUGAAGUUGACCGCCUGGGGAGUACGGCCGCAAGGUUAAAACUCAAAUGAAUUGGCGGGG
RNAcentral lists this ribosomal RNA (395 nucleotides) under uncultured bacterium. RNAcentral's name for it is "partial 16S ribosomal RNA". It matches the Rfam family "Bacterial small subunit ribosomal RNA", at positions 523 to 918 of the family's 1533-position model. The record is from RNAcentral.